AGAGUUUGAUCCUGGCUCAGAACGAACGUUAGCGGCGCGCCUAACACAUGCAAGUCGUGCGAGAAAGGGCUUCGGCCCCGGUAAAGCGGCGCACGGGUGAGUAACACGUAGGUUAUCUCCCCUCGAGUGGUGGAUAACUCUCCGAAAGGAGAGCUAAUACAGCAUGAGACCACGGCAACGCGGUCAAAGCAGGCCUCUGUACACAAGCUUGCGCUCGAGGAUGAGCCUGCGGCCCAUCAGUUAGUUGGUAGGGUAACGGCUUACCAAGACGAAGACGGGUAGCUGGUCUGAGAGGAUGAACAGCCACACUGGAACUGAGACACGGUCCAGACUCCUACGGGAGGCAGCAGUGGGGAAUCUUGCGCAAUGGGCGAAAGCCUGACGCAGCGACGCCGCGUGAGCGAUGAAGGCCUUCGGGUUGUAAAGCUCUGUGGGGAGGGAAGAAUAAGGGCAAGCUAAUACCUUGUCUGAUGACGGUACCUCCUUAGCAAGCACCGGCUAACUCUGUGCCAGCCGCCGCGGUAAUAC
Molecule: ribosomal RNA, 528 nt
Filed under: uncultured bacterium
Lineage: Bacteria
Description: bacterial SSU rRNA
Rfam family: Bacterial small subunit ribosomal RNA
Source: RNAcentral